UCUCUGAUUUCCGCUUUAACGCGAAACAAUAAUAUAUAGAAUCGGGAGGUGAGGAGAGAGAGAUCACAUCUGACCCGCGCUCCUGUUCCUCACAAUACUCCUCGCUUUCUAAAAUGAUUUACACCAGUAGAUAGAUUCAUUUUAGGUAUUAAUUCUUUCCUUUAUAUUUUAGAGUUCUAGAAUAAGUAAUUGUAGUGUGUUCGCGGGAACCGACUUUAUAACGAAAGUGUAAAAUAAGCGAGUAAAAGAAAUUUCUUUGACAAAUAUGACAAGGACUCGGGUAUAAGAGAAGAGAAAAAAAAUAUUUUUAUUGACAAAGAUAAAUGUAAUUAUGAUGAUGAUAAAAUAUAUAAGAUAAAAGAUGAUAAUAUGAUAUAUAUAAACGUAAAAAAUUUUCUAAGGCUACACAAGAGACAAUAAAAAUGAUAACAACAAAAAAGUAUAACAUUAUAUAUGUGUGUAAGCGUAUAAUAUUUCUAGUUAUUCAUGGGGAAAAUUCUUUGUUCUUAAACUCUAUUCGGAUGAUAUGUGCGGCCUCACCCGACAGUGCGAGUCGGAGGGGGGCGUUAGCCGAACACCUCCGCACCCUUCACUGUGGGGAGCCUGACUCAUCAAAUUUAUCUCCGUAGAAUGGACGGUAUUUAUUCCGUUCAUCGGGUUCCGUGUUGAAGGAAGGUCCGCGUCUCCAUCAUGUUGGAAAUCCUGCAGGUCUUAGUGUCUCAAGGGUGGAUUCGUCGCCUCUUCCGCCGACGGACGGUAAUAUUUUUACAGGCGUUAGGCCUGACGGCGCGUUGCGGGUAAGGACAGCUAAUGAGGCAAAUAGAGUACACAGAGAUUACGGUUUAAGAACCAAGAGCUUCCUUUAUUGUACUAAAGAGAAAGCUCUAAAAAAUCGUUAAAUUUUACAAAAUCACAUCCGACAAUUUCGGUUCCAUACCUUAGGAAUAGAUGUUUCUACAGAGUUCGAAUGUCUUCUGAAAUGAGCUC
This 987-nucleotide long non-coding RNA is filed under the name Androctonus crassicauda. Lineage: Eukaryota; Metazoa; Arthropoda; Arachnida; Scorpiones; Buthidae. The record is from RNAcentral.